RNAcentral lists this ribosomal RNA (2320 nucleotides) under Triticum aestivum (bread wheat). Its description in RNAcentral is "partial small subunit ribosomal RNA". Lineage: Eukaryota; Viridiplantae; Streptophyta; Magnoliopsida; Poales; Poaceae. The record is from RNAcentral.
ACUAGGUCUUUGCAUCUUCAAUGAUUCAUCCCGGGAGCCAUAUGAUCUGUCAGAUGAUGACACUAAUUUGCAGAAGAAGUUCACACGUCUAAGGGAUCAUGCAGCUGCACUGCGAAACUACUGUAUAAUCCUGACCUUUCUUUCUUUUGUCUUCACAAGGUUGAAAGCGCUCUUGGUUCUGCUGAAAAGCUUGUGAGAGCAUCACCUGAUGAGCUGUUCCACUACUAGGGUGAUCUUGUUCAAGCACUGGUACAUGUUCGUUGUUCUGAUGUCGUGAUAGAAGGUGAGGAAGAUUUUGCGGAAGAAAAGCGACAGAAGGCAUUAGUCGCCUUGCUGGUAACCAGCCCAUUUGAAUCAUUUUUGCUUUGCAUUUUCUUCAGGAUUUGGUACAUGUGUAUUUUCACAUAAUUUUUAACAAACCAAUUCAUAGAUUCGUUGUAUAUGAAUAACCGACCAAACAAAGACCGGUGAUAAUCAGCGUCAUCCCGGACCUAACGAACAUUUUAGUCUGAAUUUAUCUAACACUAUGGGAAUAGGGUAAAUGAUAACCAAAAGUUAGAAAUCUGACAUUAUGAUUGAUCAUACUAUCUGUAAUCCAUACUCUUCUGCUUUAUGGGAGUUAGUCUGUCGAUCAUCAUGACCAACUGAAAAUAAUUAAACCGGUAGAUCCCGACCUCAAAUGGCGCGAGUGCUCUAUGAAAGCAUGGGAUUUACCCCGCUAAUGUACUUGUAUUAGGACGUUCUCUACACGUUCGGAAUAGAUUAUCAAGAAAAUUUAUCUAAAGUCUGAUCAAAUUCAUUUAGAUUCAGUUUAAUUAUAGUGUCUGUUCAUUUUUUACAUUGAUUUUAUCAUAUUAUAAAAUUGUCAUACCAUAUAGUUCUUAAAACUGCAUAUGUUUUCCUGCUGCAAGUGCCACUGUUGUCACAAUGCUGCAAAGAGACGGUGCAUGGAUGCAUUUUUUAACUCUCAUGAGUGCUUGUAGAAGAAGAAUUGUACAAUGCGGAAAGAUGUUAUUUGCAUCUGCAAAGAGGGAUCAUAUUUGUAGAUUGAUUCCAUAAGAAUCAGGUCACUCCUUGACUAAUUCGAUCUUGAAUCAUUUGCAUUUUUUUAACAUGGUUGGAGAUGUCGUGUAGCAGGAGCAGGAGCUAAUGGACAGUCAGUGAGCCCCAAGGGCGGUGGCCCCUGCAACAUGAAGAAGACCAUCCAGACAAAGGGGAGGUACACGGAUAGCCAAGGAUGCAAGGAGACGUGCAGGUCUGCGUUUCAGAGUUAUCUCUUUCAGCACCAGCGAUUAAAUGGUCCGUAGCUGGUCAGGCGUGCUUGCAUAAAAUGUACUUUGUUAGUUGCUAGAGCCAUGCUAGCUUUGUAUGUUGUUCUUGCAGCCUCAACUAGCUAAUUCUAUUUAAAGCUAAUGUUGUUCUAUCCUUCCAAUUACUGUUGUUAUUCAGAUUUUUUUCUUUUUUUGUUGUCAUUCAGAGUACAAAUGUUAUGAGAAUUUCAGGAUUUUUGUCAUAUCUCCCAAUUACCUUAAUUUUGUAAGUUGUGUUCUAAUUCAAUUUUGAUUUCCUUUCACAAUAGCCUACUUUAAAGCUGUGUGAAUCCAUUAUUUUCCUUUUGAGUUUGCUGUAGAGCAGUGGAGGCGAGUUGGGAACCUUUUUUUUUAACUUGGUGGAUGUACUGUUGUAGCGAUGGAGAUUUGCCUGAAUGUUGCUUUCCUCCGCGUGAAGUGCCUAGAAUUCUCGAAGGCGUCAACAAGACCCGAAGGAGAUUGACAAAGUGUAGAUUGACAAGGUUUGGUUGCAUCAACGAAUUGAUUUAAGACAAGAUAACAAUGGGAACCAUUGUCCUAAAGUCAGCUGGAUCAUCAAAGUUCUCUGUGCAGCAAAGCCUGAUAGGCGUGUUGGAUGUUGCUGCAUGUCUCAGCCAACAGAGUGAUGAUACUGCUGUUGGAUCUCCAGCAACAUGCUACCAUAGCUCUUCGGGAAGCAAAAAGCUGAGAAUUGGCAGAUGACCGAUCUCAUGUUGUGAUGUGCUUUAGGUGUGUUGCUCACCGUUCUGGCUGUUUUGUUGUUUCAAACAUCUCAAUUUAGUUUGGUCAUUCGAGAACUAUAGCGUGGUCAAGUGUAUUGACUUUGUCGUUCAGCUCUCCGCUUGAGAUUAUUUUAGUUCUGAUUUACUUUCAUUUACUUUGUUUUGCAAGUAGCAUGUCCUUAGCGUGCCACCGUGUCAGUACAAUGCCAGUUUUUGUGUUUCAUAUAAUGCUUAAUUACAGUUGAUUGUACCUUUAUUUCUAAACAAACAAAAUCAACUGUAAUUUUG